GUAGUCCACGCCCUAAACGAUGUCAACUAGUUGUCGGGUCUUAACGGACUUGGUAACGUAGCUAACGCGUGAAGUUGACCGCCUGGGGAGUACGGUCGCAAGAUUAAAACUCAAAGGAAUUGACGGGGACCCGCACAAGCGGUGGAUUAUGUGGAUUAAUUCGAUGCAACGCGAAAAACCUUACCUACCCUUGACAUGUACCGAAGCCCGCCGAGAGGUGAGUGUGCCCGAAAGGGAACGGUAACACAGGUGCUGCAUGGCUGUCGUCAGCUCGUGUCGUGAGAUGUUGGGUUAAGUCCCGCAACGAGCGCAACCCUUGUCAUUAAUUGCCAUCAUUCAGUUGGGCACUUUAAUGAAACUGCCGGUGACAAACCGGA
Molecule: ribosomal RNA, 377 nt
Filed under: uncultured bacterium
Lineage: Bacteria
Description: bacterial SSU rRNA
Rfam family: Bacterial small subunit ribosomal RNA
Source: RNAcentral